Rhododendron vialii is the source of this 306-nucleotide long non-coding RNA. RefSeq lists it as uncharacterized. The record is from RefSeq and is a predicted model, not a curated record. The transcript has 2 exons. NCBI's taxonomy places the organism in Eukaryota, Viridiplantae, Streptophyta, Magnoliopsida, Ericales, Ericaceae.
CCCUCCUUGUUCAACUCAAAAAUUGAAGGCCAAGACUCACAAAUCUCGCAAAAAGACAAGAAGAAAACGUGAUCUACGGACAAAGGAAUACGCAUUGAUCCGAACAAAAUCUUGAUCGGCCAACUUUGGAGAUCCAAACUUUUUCGAAAUUUGGCUAUUUUAAGGUGACAAUAAGGCACCAAGUACUUAGUGAAGUGUAGCUACAUGGAGUCUCUUUUGUGUUGUUAUUUUGUUAGCAUAUGUCAUGAAACGUGUAAGGCCAUAUGGCCGUAUUUGAUACAAUGUCUUUUGUAGUUUGAUUGUGGA